RNAcentral lists this transfer RNA (95 nucleotides) under Nocardioides sp. Its description in RNAcentral is "tRNA-Sec". It matches the Rfam family "Selenocysteine transfer RNA". RNAcentral also lists the same sequence under 1 other name. The record is from RNAcentral. Lineage: Bacteria; Bacillati; Actinomycetota; Actinomycetes; Propionibacteriales; Nocardioidaceae.
GGAGGCGUUUCCCGUCUGGUGACGGGCGCGGUCCUCAAAACCGUCGUGGCCGGGCCACCCGGUCAGGCGGGUUCGAUUCCCGUCCGCCUCCGCCA